This is a small nucleolar RNA of Solanum dulcamara, 75 nucleotides long. RefSeq annotates it as small nucleolar RNA R12. The record is from RefSeq and is a predicted model, not a curated record. The transcript has a single exon. Lineage: Eukaryota; Viridiplantae; Streptophyta; Magnoliopsida; Solanales; Solanaceae.
AUAAGGGUGAUGAAAGAAAUCAUUCGGAUUCCCAAUGAUAUACAUGAUUACUACAACCAGCUACUUCUGACUUAU